ACCAAACAUUUAGGGCUACUUUGAUGGAAAUAACACGGUGGGUGGUGGUGCAUGGCCGUCCUUAGCUGCUGGAGCGACUAGCCUAGUUAAUUCCAAUAACAAAGGAGACUAGCCUAUUAAAUAGGUGCGUGAAUCUCUGAAACGUUCAAACUCUUUAAAGGAACAAGGGGCUCCUAGCCGCACGAAACAGGGCAAUAACAAGUAUGUGAUGCCCUUAGAUGU
RNAcentral lists this ribosomal RNA (222 nucleotides) under Ixodes scapularis (black-legged tick). Its description in RNAcentral is "eukaryotic small subunit ribosomal RNA". It matches the Rfam family "Eukaryotic small subunit ribosomal RNA", at positions 1223 to 1480 of the family's 1831-position model. Lineage: Eukaryota; Metazoa; Arthropoda; Arachnida; Ixodida; Ixodidae. The record is from RNAcentral.